UUGACCUCGAAUCAGGUAGGAAUACCCGCUGAACUUAAGCAUAUCAAUAAGCGGAGGAAAAGAAACCAACCGGGAUA
RNAcentral lists this ribosomal RNA (77 nucleotides) under uncultured Erysiphaceae. RNAcentral's name for it is "partial 28S ribosomal RNA". It matches the Rfam family "Eukaryotic large subunit ribosomal RNA", at positions 1 to 76 of the family's 3401-position model. The record is from RNAcentral. Lineage: Eukaryota; Fungi; Ascomycota; Leotiomycetes; Helotiales; Erysiphaceae.